RNAcentral lists this long non-coding RNA (665 nucleotides) under Marmota monax (woodchuck). The record is from RNAcentral. Lineage: Eukaryota; Metazoa; Chordata; Mammalia; Rodentia; Sciuridae.
UUCCAGUUUGCUUUCUAAUUAGUUCCUUACAAAGUACUUUAUUAAAGCUGUGAUUGACAUUUUUCUUAAUGAAUCCUCUCAGGACAAUGUAUAGCCUGUGGUAAGUACAAAGGGAGAGGAAGAUGUUUUGAACUUUAAAAGCUUUAUUAUCAGUAUACCCCUCCCCAACUGAAUGUUGUUCUCUUUUGGUUCCAUUAAGUCAAAAUACAAAUCAGCACAGAUACUGUUUCCAAUAUUUUAAAUGUCAUGUUAGUUAUGAAAAAAAGUAUUUUACUUACGGUUGUGUAUGUAUUAUGUAUAUACCUCAAGUUCAAGUUAAUGGCUUUGAUUUGUGUUCUAAAGAAAAGCAAAUAAUGCAAAAAUUAGUAAUAUCCUUAGUUAUUGCCCUAAUGAGAUAAGUACUGGCAUUGGUAUUAAGUGCCAUUUUAUACUUUUCCUGUAUGUUUUCUGUAUUGUACUAAUCAAACGUCCCCUCUCCCCCAAUCAUUGAGCUGCUCUUAAGAAAAAAAAAAGAUACAGGAAAAAGCUUGAUAUUGUGUACCCAUUUUUGUUGAUCAGUAACACACAUAGAAACGUGUAAUCCAACUAAGUAAAAUAUCUGUCAAAUUUUUGGCUUACCCAAUUGACAGAAUUGCACAGUGGAGCAUUUAUCAGAUUAAUCCUUG